Molecule: ribosomal RNA, 388 nt
Filed under: uncultured bacterium
Lineage: Bacteria
Description: bacterial SSU rRNA
Rfam family: Bacterial small subunit ribosomal RNA
Source: RNAcentral
GACGAACGCUGGCGGCGUACUUAACACAUGCAAGUCGAGCGGUAAGGCCCUUUCGGGGGUACACGAGCGGCGAACGGGUGAGUAACACGUGGGUGACCUGCCCUCAGCUCUGGGAUAAGCCUGGGAAACCGGGUCUAAUACCGGAUAUGACUCCAUGACGCAUGUUGUGGGGUGGAAAGCCUUGUGCGGCUGAGGAUGGGCCCGCGGCCUAUCAGCUUGUUGGUGGGGUGANGGCCUACCAAGGCGACGACGGGUAGCCGGCCUGAGAGGGCGACCGGCCACACUGGGACUGAGACACGGCCCAGACUCCUACGGGAGGCAGCAGUGGGGAAUCUUGCGCAAUGGGCGAAAGCCUGACGCAGCGACGCCGCGUGAGGGAUGACGGCCU